AUUGAACGCUGGCGGCAGGCUUAACACAUGCAAGUCGAGCGAGCGGCGGACGGGUGAGUAAUGUAUGGGAAUCUGCCAGAUGGAGGGGGAUAACUACUGGAAACGGUAGCUAAUACCGCAUACUAUCAGAUGUGCCCAGAUGGGAUUAGCUAGUAGGUGGGGUAAAGGCUCACCUAGGCGACGAUCCCUAGCUGGUCUGAGAGGAGGACCAGCCCAACUGGAACUGAGACACGGCCCAGCUUCCUACGGGAGGCGGAAGUGGGGAAUAUUGAACAAUGGGGGAAAGCCUGAUGCAGCCAUGCCGCGUGUAUGAAGAAGGCCUUAGGGUUGUAAAGUACUUUCAGCGGGGAGGCGUUACUCGCAGAAGAAGCACCGGCUAACUCCGUGCCAGCAGCCGCGGUAAUUC
RNAcentral lists this ribosomal RNA (406 nucleotides) under uncultured bacterium. RNAcentral's name for it is "partial 16S ribosomal RNA". It matches the Rfam family "Bacterial small subunit ribosomal RNA", at positions 30 to 526 of the family's 1533-position model. The record is from RNAcentral.